AGUAGAGAUGGAAAAGUAGAGUUUUAUUUAAUGAGUACAGACUUUCAGUUUUGCAAGAUGAAAAGAGUUCUGGAGAUAGAUGGUGGUGAUGG
Molecule: long non-coding RNA, 92 nt
Organism: Sapajus apella (tufted capuchin)
Lineage: Eukaryota; Metazoa; Chordata; Mammalia; Primates; Cebidae
Exons: 3
Source: RefSeq, a predicted model, not a curated record